GGCGGCGUGCCUAACACAUGCAAGUCGAGCGGAGAAUGCGGAUAUGUUUACAUGGAAGCAUUCUUAGCGGCGGACGGGUGAGUAACACGUGGGUAACCUGCCUCAAAGAGGGGGAUAGCCUUCCGAAAGGAAGAUUAAUACCGCAUAAGCCUGCAGUACCGCAUGGUACAGCAGGAAAAGGAGCAAUCCGCUUUGAGAUGGACCCGCGGCGCAUUAGCUAGUUGGUGAGGUAACGGCUCACCAAGGCGACGAUGCGUAGCCGACCUGAGAGGGUGAUCGGCCACAUUGGAACUGAGACACGGUCCAGACUCCUACGGGAGGCAGCAGUGGGGAAUAUUGCACAAUGGGCGAAAGCCUGAUGCAGCCAACGCCGCGUGAAUGAUGAAGGCCUUCGGGUCGUAAAGUUCUUUGAUCAGGGAUGAUAAUGACAGUACCUGAAAAACAAGCCACGGCUAACUACGUGCCAGCAGCUGC
RNAcentral lists this ribosomal RNA (474 nucleotides) under uncultured bacterium. RNAcentral's name for it is "bacterial SSU rRNA". It matches the Rfam family "Bacterial small subunit ribosomal RNA", at positions 38 to 518 of the family's 1533-position model. The record is from RNAcentral.